GAUGAACGCUGGCGGCGUGCCUAAUACAUGCAAGUCGAGCGAACGGACGAGAAGCUUGCUUCUCUGAUGUUAGCGGCGGACGGGUGAGUAACACGUGGAUAACCUACCUAUAAGACUGGGAUAACUUCGGGAAACCGGAGCUAAUACCGGAUAAUAUUUUGAACCGCAUGGUUCAAAAGUGAAAGACGGUCUUGCUGUCACUUAUAGAUGGAUCCGCGCUGCAUUAGCUAGUUGGUAAGGUAACGGCUUACCAAGGCAACGAUGCAUAGCCGACCUGAGAGGGGGAUCGGCCACACGGGAACUGAGACACGGUCCAGACUCCUACGGGAGGCAGCAGUAGGGAAUCUGCCGCAAUGGGCGAAAGCCUGACGGAGCAACGCCGCGUGAGUGAUGAAGGUCUUCGGAUCGUAAAACUCUGUUAUUAGGGAAGAACAUAUGUGUAAGUAACUGUGCACAUCUUGACGGUACCUAAUCAGAAAGCCACGGCUAACUACGUG
RNAcentral lists this ribosomal RNA (497 nucleotides) under uncultured bacterium. Its description in RNAcentral is "partial 16S ribosomal RNA". It matches the Rfam family "Bacterial small subunit ribosomal RNA", at positions 28 to 507 of the family's 1533-position model. The record is from RNAcentral.